AUUGGCCUACGGGGGGCAGCAGUGAGGAAUAUUGGUCAAUGGUCGGGAGACUGAACCAGCCAAGUCGCGUGAGGGAUGACGGUCCUAUGGAUUGUAAACCUCUUUUGUCGGGGAGCAAGGCCCGCCACGUGUGGCGGGAAGGAGAGUACCCGAAGAAAAAGCAUCGGCUAACUCCGUGCCAGCAGCCGCGGUAAUACGGAGGAUGCGAGCGUUAUCCAGAUUUAUUGGGGUUAAAGGGUGCGUAGGCGGAAGGUUAAGUCAGCGGUCAAAUGUCGGUGCUCAACACCGGCCUGCCGUUGAAACUG
Molecule: ribosomal RNA, 305 nt
Filed under: uncultured bacterium
Lineage: Bacteria
Description: bacterial SSU rRNA
Rfam family: Bacterial small subunit ribosomal RNA
Source: RNAcentral